This 803-nucleotide ribosomal RNA is filed under the name uncultured Alphaproteobacteria bacterium. RNAcentral's name for it is "bacterial SSU rRNA". It matches the Rfam family "Bacterial small subunit ribosomal RNA", at positions 380 to 1203 of the family's 1533-position model. Lineage: Bacteria; Pseudomonadati; Pseudomonadota; Alphaproteobacteria. The record is from RNAcentral.
ACCCUGAUCCUGCAAUGCAGCGUGAGUGACGAAGGCCUUAGGGUUGUAAAACUCUUUCAUCGGUGAGGAUAAUGACAGUAGCCGAAGAAGAAGGACCGGCUAAUUCCGUGCCAGCAGCCGCGGUAAUACGGAAGGUCCUAGCGUUGUUCGGAAUUACUGGGCGUAAAGCGCAUGUAGGCGGAACAGAAAGUUAGAAGUGAAAUCCCUGGGCUCAACCUAGGAAUUGCUUUUAAAACUUCUGUUCUGGAAUUCAGGAGAGGAAAAUGGAAUUUCCAGUGUAGAGGUGAAAUUCGUAGAUAUUGGAAGGAACACCAGUGGCGAAGGCGAUUUUCUGGACUGAUAUUGACGCUGAGAUGCGAAGGCAUGGGUAGCAAACGGGAUUAGAUACCCCGGUAGUCCAUGCAGUAAACGAUGGGUGCUAGUCGUCGGACUUUUGUUCGGUGUCGUAGCUAACGCGUUAAGCACCCCGCCUGGGGAGUACGGUCGCAAGAUUAAAACUCAAAUAAAUUGACGGGGACCCGCACAAGCAGUGGAGCAUGUGGUUUAAUUCGACGCAACGCGAAGAACCUUACCAGCGUUUGACAUGGAAAGUACCGGUUACAGAAUGGUAACCUUCAGUUCGGCUGGCUUUCGCACAGGUGCUGCAUGGCUGUCGUCAGCUCGUGUCGUGAGAUGUUGGGUUAAGUCCCGCAACGAGCGCAACCCUUAUCGUUAGUUACUAACAGUUCGGCUGAGGACUCUAGCGAAACUGCCGGUGAUAAGCCGGAAGAAGGUGGGGAUGACGUCAAGUCCUCAUGGCCCUU